This is a long non-coding RNA of Clupea harengus (Atlantic herring), 330 nucleotides long. The record is from Ensembl. Lineage: Eukaryota; Metazoa; Chordata; Actinopteri; Clupeiformes; Clupeidae.
CAGGAGGUGGAGGCAUGAUGUCCAGUGGCAUGUCUUUAGACGGUUCCAUGAUAUCUGGUGGCAUGGUGUCAUGUGGUGGCUCUGAAAUGAUGUCAUCAGGUGGAGCCAUGUCAGGCGGCAUGAUGUCAUCAGGUGGCUCCAUGAUGUCAGGAGGUGGAGCCAUGAUGUCAGGAGGUGGCUCUGAAAUGAUGUCAUCAGGUGGAGCCAUGAUGUCAGGAGGUGGAGGCAUGGUGUCAUGUGGUGGCUCUGAAAUGAUGUCAUCAGGUGGAGCCAUGAUUUCAGGAGGUGGAGCCAUGAUGUCAGGAGGUGGGGCCCAAAUGAUGUCAGGAG